Molecule: non-coding RNA, 73 nt
Organism: Canis lupus familiaris (dog)
Lineage: Eukaryota; Metazoa; Chordata; Mammalia; Carnivora; Canidae
Source: Rfam
ACCUGGCUGGCUCAGUCAGUAGAGCAUGUGACUCUUGAUCUCAGGGUCAUGAGUUCAAGCCCCAAGUUAGGUG